RNAcentral lists this ribosomal RNA (270 nucleotides) under uncultured bacterium. Its description in RNAcentral is "partial 16S ribosomal RNA". It matches the Rfam family "Bacterial small subunit ribosomal RNA", at positions 524 to 794 of the family's 1533-position model. The record is from RNAcentral.
UACGUAGGUGGCGAGCGUUGUCCGGAUUUACUGGGCGUAAAGAGCGCGCAGGCGGUCGUCCAAGUCGCGUGUGAAAGCCCCCGGCUCAACUGGGAGGGUCACGCGAUACUGAUCGACUCGAAGGCAGGAGAGGGUAGUGGAAUUCCCGGUGUAGUGGUGAAAUGCGUAGAUAUCGGGAGGAACACCAGUGGCGAAGGCGACUACCUGGCCUGUUCUUGACGCUGAGGCGCGAAAGCUAGGGGAGCAAACGGGAUUAGAAACCCCGGUAGU